AACAACACAGCAUGAUGCAGUCCCUGAGGAUCAAGACAGAAGAGAAGAAAUGACACUUACUGUAAGAGCUGGAUGUGACACCAGAAGCAACACACUUUGUGCCUUGUUCUGUCAACAGACAAGGAUCACAUCUUUUCUCAAUGCACACUGAGCUGAAGGGCAGCAUCCUGGAUAUUAUUUCAAUGCACACUGAUAAAGAACUACAUUGUACAUAUUUGGUUUGUAAUAUGUGAAGACAUUUAAUACAAGGAUUUUCUGUU
Acanthochromis polyacanthus (spiny chromis) is the source of this 260-nucleotide long non-coding RNA. RefSeq lists it as uncharacterized. Lineage: Eukaryota; Metazoa; Chordata; Actinopteri; Pomacentridae. The transcript has 2 exons. The record is from RefSeq and is a predicted model, not a curated record.